This 73-nucleotide transfer RNA is filed under the name Felis catus (domestic cat). It matches the Rfam family "tRNA". From Rfam's summary of the family: Transfer RNA (tRNA) molecules are approximately 80 nucleotides in length. Their secondary structure includes four short double-helical elements and three loops (D, anti-codon, and T loops). RNAcentral also lists the same sequence under 2 other names. The record is from Rfam by way of RNAcentral. Lineage: Eukaryota; Metazoa; Chordata; Mammalia; Carnivora; Felidae.
GCCUGACAGGCUCAGUAGAUAGAGCAUGAGGCUCUUGAUCUUCGGGUUGAGUGUUCAAGCCUCUUGUUGGGUA